Molecule: long non-coding RNA, 2258 nt
Filed under: Homo sapiens (human)
Lineage: Eukaryota; Metazoa; Chordata; Mammalia; Primates; Hominidae
Description: HSALNT0216823
Source: RNAcentral
GUGGUGGUGCCCGCCUGCAGUCCCAGCUACUUGGGAGGCUGAGAUGGGAGGGUUGCUUGAGCCCAGGAGGUUGACACUGCAGUGAGCUAUGAUGGAACUAUUGCACUCCACUCUGGGUGACAGAGUAAGACCGUCUCAAAAACAACAAAAAAAGACAUACACACUUGCCUUUCACAUAACCCAGCAAUUUCACUCCUCAGCAAUUGACCCAAAAGGAAAUCAACGUCCACACAAGGACUUGUACACGAGUGUUCACGAGCGCAUCUGAAACAGCCUCAAACGUGCAAUGUCCUCUAACAGAUGAAUGGCUACACACCCUCAGCGUGCUGAAGGACUACCGACUGCCACACAAUACAAACGAACAAACCAUUGAUGCGUGACUCAACACACACCCUCAGCGUGCUGAAGGACUACCGACUGCCACGCCACAACACAAAUGAGCAAACCAUUGAUGCGUGACUCAACAUAAUUACACUGUGAAAAAAGCCGAAGGGAAAAACAUAUACUAUGUGAUCCUACUCCUACGGAAUUCUACAGAAUACAACUAAUUUAUCGUGAAAAAAGUAGCUCACUGGUGGCCUGGGGCAGGAGGGGGGGUGGUGACCAAGGGCCUGUGGACCCCGUGGGAGCCACAGAUCUGUGGGUCUUCUUGGUUGUCACUAUGGCUUCACAGGUGUGUGCAGACAUCAAAGUUCAGAAAUCAAAGGGCACAUUUUAAAUAUGAGCAGUUUUCAUACGGCAAUCACACCUCAAUAAGGCUGUUAAAAAUCACCCAAUGGUAAAUUUAAAAGACUGAGAAAAGAACUUUCACGGGAGGAAUGUGACUCCUCCUCCUUGAGCUACGUGUUCAUUUCUUGAAACCACUUGCUGUUGCCACAAGUAGCUCUAAACUAACCCAAUAAUGCCGCACCCAAUAGUUUAACGAUGUACAGCCAAUCACGAAUGAACGUUACUAUUGUAAGCCAAUGAGAAUUCCCAACAGACAACUUUGUAUCUAUCCAAUCACUGUCCCUUUUUGCCUUUAAAAAUCCAUCUGUAGCUGAGGCUGGCUCACUCCUGUAAUCCCGCACUUUGGCGGGCCAAGGUGGACAGAUCACUUGAGGUCAGGAGUUCGAGAUCAGCCUGGCCAACGUGGCGAAACCCCGUUUCUACAAAAAAUACAAAAAUUAGCUGGGCGUGGUGGCGCAUGCCUGUAGUCCCAACUACUCAGGAGGGUGAGGCAGGAGAAUUGCUUCAAACUACAGGGUAGAGGUUGUGGUGAGCUGAGAUUAUGCAACUGCACUCCAGCCUGGGUGACAGAGUGAGCCUGUCUCCAAAAAAAGAAAAAGUCCAUGUGUAACUGCUGCUCACCAGAGUGUAUAUUCAAGGCAAUGGGAUAUGUCCACCCUGGCUGCAAUCCUCAAGCUUGACCCAAAUAAAUUAUGUAGAUUACUUUUGCCUCUGCUUCUUCCUUUAAGGUUGGCAAAACUCAUCUUAAAACAUCCCACUCUGGAUUUUGUGUGUGUGUAUACUGGGGACAGGGUCUGGCUCUGCUGCCCAGGCUGGAAUACAGUGGUGCAAUCAUAGCUCACUGCACAUCGAACUCCUGGGUUCAAGUGAUCCUCCGGCCUCAGCCUCCCGAGGAGCUGGGACUACAGGUGCACACUCCCAUGCCCAGCUAAUUUUUUUAUUUUUUGUAGAGAUGGGGUCUCACUAUGCUGACCAGGCUGGUCUUGAACUCUGCUCAAGCAGUCCUCCUGUAUUUGCCUCCCAAAGUGCUGCGAUUACAGGCAUGAACCACCAUGCUUGACCCACUCCCUAGUCUUAGACUGCUUUCUUCUGAAUGUGUUCCAAUACAAGAUUCCUGGCUAGCACUGAGUCCCGGAGGGGUCCCCAUGGUGAGGAAUGGCUCCUUGGGGGAAAGCACCUGAUCCCCAGAGAGCAGCUGUCAGUGGACGAUGACCUCUGGACAGAGCAGCCUCUCAGAAGCCCCUCCCCGGGCAAGUGGGCCCAGGCCGCAGGUGCCAGGAGCCUUGGGGGCUCCGGCUGCCACAUUCCCGGGACAUGCACAUUCCCUGGACUGUUGGCUCUGCCCCAAAAGUACUUCCAGAGUUCGACCAGGCUGGGCCAGGUCUCUCACCCUGGGUUCCUGCAACAGCCUCCCUACCUCCUGCCUCUGUUCUCAGGCCCUCCCGUGGCUCCUACUAACCCCCAAGUGAAAAUACACAGUACAGAAUACAAAUCAAAAACAAGAUUCUAAGCCCCACAACCAACCAAAU